GACGAACGCUGGCGGCGUGCUUAACACAUGCAAGUCGAACGGAGUUCCUCAGAUCAAGACUUCGGUCAAGUGAACUGGAACUUAGUGGCGGACUGGUGAGUAACGCGUGAGGAACCUGCCUUUCAGAGGGGGACAACAGUUGGAAACGACUGCUAAUACCGCAUGAUGUACAUUUGGGACAUCCCGAGUGUACCAAAGGAGCAAUCCGCUGAAGGAUGGCCUCGCGUCCGAUUAGAUAGUUGGUGGGGUAACGGCCCACCAAGUCGACGAUCGGUAGCCGGACUGAGAGGUUGAACGGCCGCAUUGGGACUGAGACACGGCCCAGACUCCUACGGGAGGCAGCAGUGGGGGAUAUUGCACAAUGGGCGCAAGCCUGAUGCAGCAACGCCGCGUGAGGGAUGACGGUACCUUUGGAGGAAGCCCCGGCUAACUACGUG
This 437-nucleotide ribosomal RNA is filed under the name uncultured bacterium. RNAcentral's name for it is "bacterial SSU rRNA". It matches the Rfam family "Bacterial small subunit ribosomal RNA", at positions 28 to 507 of the family's 1533-position model. The record is from RNAcentral.